RNAcentral lists this ribosomal RNA (1456 nucleotides) under Tetrabothrius forsteri. RNAcentral describes it as "partial 28S ribosomal RNA". It matches the Rfam family "Eukaryotic large subunit ribosomal RNA", at positions 16 to 839 of the family's 3401-position model. Lineage: Eukaryota; Metazoa; Platyhelminthes; Cestoda; Tetrabothriidea; Tetrabothriidae. The record is from RNAcentral.
UUAGGUCGACCCGCUGAAYUUAAGCAUAUCAAUAAGCGGAGGAAAAGAAACUAAMCMGGAUUCCCUUAGUAGCGGCGAGUGAAGAGGGAGGAGCCCAGCGCCGAAGCCUGCGGCAGUAAUGCUGCUAGGCGAUGUGGUGUUUGGGCUGACCAGUGGGAUUGCGACUCCACUUGAAGUCCGGCAUUGAGUACGGUAGACGGACUUGGCCCAGAGAGGGUGAGAGGCCCGUGCGGGUGGAGGUUCAGRCGUGUCUAGCGCGAUUCCUCAGGUCAGCCCGAGAGUCGGGUUGUUUGAGAUUGCAGCCCAAAGUGGGUGGUAAACUCCAUCCAAGGCUAAAUACAAGCACGAGUCCGAUAGCGAACAAGUACCGUGAGGGAAAGUUGAAAAGUACUCUGAAGAGAGAGUAAACAGUACGUGAAACCGCAUGCAGGUAAGCGGGUGGCGUCAAGCUGCUAGCCCGGAGGAUUCAGCCGGUUAGGAUGUUUGUGUGCGCUCGGUGCACCUAUUGGCCGGAGUAAGAUGCAGUAGUCCACUGGAAGACGGUGGUCCUUUUGGUCGCGUUCAUGUAGCGUGGCUAGGAGGAGAUGCGUGCCGGAUGGGUGCCGGAGCAUACUACUCAUCCGUAGGGUCGACUAGCCGGUGCAUUUUCUUCGUGGCCGACACCACGACCGAUGGCAUUGUUGGUCUGCUGCGGUCAAGUCGCACCUAAUUGGUGUCAUCUGGCGUCAAUUGGAUGCGGCCACAGUCAAGAUAUGUAGACGGCGUUGGGGUGUUUCGGCACUUUAGCGUGUUAUCGUCUGCAGCUUGAAAACGGGCCUGCCUAGUGAUUGUUGUGGCCUGCUUUGAUCACUUGGUGGUUCGGUGGACCGUGGUGGUGUUAAUUACCAUACAAGGCAUCGGAGUCAGCGACCUCAUGUAAGAGCAUCAUGCAUCAGGACGCGAGUCACGAGCGUCGUGCUUAUCCGAGGGUGCACUAGGGUGGCCUGCUUGCAGUCUGGCUCUGAUUGUCGUGUUGCCUGCGCAAAGUAGGUCCGGCAGUGGUCAGCUGUGAGAUGGGUUGCUAAUGUCACUGGUGUGCUUCGUGAUGUGGUGCUGGGGGUCAUGUAGUCAGUGGUGCUGUGGUAGACUAGCUACCCGACCCGUCUUGAAACACGGACCANNNNNNNNNNNNNNNNNNNNNNUCAAGGGGUCCUACGAAACCCAAAGGCGCAGUGAAAGUAAGGCCUCAUUUGCCUCGGUGGCGGCGCAGCUUGUCUGUUGCUGCUACAGCAGUGGGGUGAGGUGAGAUCCUGCUGUUACUCGCACGCACGUGCACACGGUGCCGGGCUAAGAGCAGUGGGCGCAUCACCGGCCCGUCCCAUGAUGUAGUCAUUGGAUUCUCGCGAACGUCAGUGCAGACAUCGGGGCGGAGCAUGAGCAUGCACGUUGAGACCCGAAAGAUGGUGAACUAUGCAUA